AACGAACGCUGGCGGCAUGCCUAACACAUGCAAGUCGAACGAGACCUUCGGGUCUAGUGGCGCACGGGUGCGUAACGCGUGGGAACCUGCCCUUAGGUUCGGAAUAACUCCCCGAAAGGGGUGCUAAUACCGGAUAAUGUCUUCGGACCAAAGAUUUAUCGCCUUUGGAUGGGCCCGCGUUGGAUUAGCUAGUUGGUAGGGUAAAAGCCUACCAAGGCGACGAUCCAUAGCUGGUCUGAGAGGAUGAUCAGCCACACUGGGACUGAGACACGGCCCAGACUCCUACGGGAGGCAGCAGUGGGGAAUAUUGGAAAAUGGGCGAAAGCAUGAUCCAGCAAUGCCGCGUGAGUGAUGAAGGCCUUAGGGUUGUAAAGCUCUUUUACCCGGGAUGAUAAUGACAGUACCGGGAGAAUAAGCGCCGGCUAACUCCGUG
Molecule: ribosomal RNA, 433 nt
Filed under: uncultured bacterium
Lineage: Bacteria
Description: partial 16S ribosomal RNA
Rfam family: Bacterial small subunit ribosomal RNA
Source: RNAcentral